RNAcentral lists this ribosomal RNA (253 nucleotides) under uncultured bacterium. RNAcentral's name for it is "partial 16S ribosomal RNA". It matches the Rfam family "Bacterial small subunit ribosomal RNA", at positions 524 to 776 of the family's 1533-position model. The record is from RNAcentral.
UACGAAGGGGGCUAGCGUUGCUCGGAAUCACUGGGCGUAAAGCGCACGUAGGCGGAUUGUUAAGUCAGGGGUGAAAUCCUGGAGCUCAACUCCAGAACUGCCUUUGAUACUGGCGAUCUCGAGUCCGGGAGAGGUGAGUGGAACUGCGAGUGUAGAGGUGAAAUUCGUAGAUAUUCGCAAGAACACCAGUAGCGAAGGCGGCUCACUGGCCCGGUACUGACGCUGAGGUGCGAAAGCGUGGGGAGCAAACAGG